This 558-nucleotide long non-coding RNA is filed under the name Hordeum vulgare. Its description in RNAcentral is "long non-coding RNA (HVUL_LNC016352)". The record is from RNAcentral. Lineage: Eukaryota; Viridiplantae; Streptophyta; Magnoliopsida; Poales; Poaceae.
GGUGGAUAGGGAUCGCGCUCAGGACGGCUUUGACGAAUGCGAGGCGACCCGCCUUGUUCAUGAGGUGUGCCUUCCAGCACGGGAGCAUACCGGCGGUCCUGUCGACGACGGGCUGUAGCUGGGUAGCAGUUGGGCGCCGUAGUGUCAGUGGGAUGCCCAAGUAGGUGAUGGGAAGGUCCACGAUGGGGCAUCCCAGCAGGUCGACAACAGGCGUGGCUGUGGCGGGGUCGCUGCGGAUCAGCGUGGCUGUGCUCUUCAGGAAGUUAACCUGGAGUCCAGGGGCGCGCCCGAAGAGUUGCAGGAUGCUCUUUAUCGCCUUGAUGUCGCCGCGCGAGGGGUGGCAGAAGAGGAUCACGUCGUCGGCGUAGNNNNNNNNNNUGCAGCGGAUCAGCGUGGCUGUGCUCUUCAGGAAGUUAAUCUGGAGUCCAGAGGCGCGCCCGAAGAGUUGCAGGAUGCUCUUUAUCGCCUCGAUGUCGCUGUGCGAGGGGUGGCAGAAGAGGAUCACGUCGUUGGCGUAGAGCGAGACGACGGGGAGUGAGCGGCGGGGGUGAAGUUGUC